Molecule: ribosomal RNA, 603 nt
Filed under: uncultured fungus
Lineage: Eukaryota; Fungi
Description: eukaryotic LSU rRNA
Rfam family: Eukaryotic large subunit ribosomal RNA
Source: RNAcentral
ACCCGCUGAACUUAAGCAUAUCAAUAAGCGGAGGAAAAGAAACCAACAGGGAUUGCCCUAGUAACGGCGAGUGAAGCGGCAACAGCUCAAAUUUGAAAUCUGGCUCUUUUAGAGUCCGAGUUGUAAUUUGCAGAGGGCGCUUUGGCUUUGGCAGCGGUCCAAGUUCCUUGGAACAGGACGUCACAGAGGGUGAGAAUCCCGUACGUGGUCGCCGGCUAUUGCCGUGUAAAGCCCCUUCGACGAGUCGAGUUGUUUGGGAAUGCAGCUCUAAAUGGGAGGUACAUUUCUUCUAAAGCUAAAUAUUGGCCAGAGACCGAUAGCGCACAAGUAGAGUGAUCGAAAGAUGAAAAGCACUUUGGAAAGAGAGUCAAACAGCACGUGAAAUUGUUGAAAGGGAAGCGCUUGCAGCCAGACUUGCUUGCAGUUGCUCAUCCGGGCUUUUGCCCGGUGCACUCUUCUGUAGGCAGGCCAGCAUCAGUUUGGGCGGUAGGAUAAAGGUCUCUGUCACGUACCUCUCUUCGGGGAGGCCUUAUAGGGGAGACGACAUACUACCAGCCUGGACUGAGGUCCGCGCAUCUGCUAGGAUGCUGGCGUAAUGGCUGU